AAGGAGUGAGCGCAUGCGCCGCCCGCAGGAUCCGGCGUUCCGUUUGAGAGGUGGCUACGGACUCAGUGGCUGCGACUGGGGCGUUGCGGGGCGGGGUGGAAGGACGUGACCGCAGAGAGGGUGCCAUCGUUGCUCUGCAAUGCAAAGAUCUGAACAAGGGGAAAUGCAUGUCCUUCAAAGAGAAAACUAAGUCCUAAAGAAAGAAGCAAAUGGGUGAAAUAUUGUCAGGAUCGUAGUAGCCACUGACCUAGGAUGGAAGCCAGCUACUGGGAGAAUAUUUCAAAAUGGCAAGUUCAACUUUCAAAGAGAAGAUGCUUCUCUCACUUCUUUCCACCUCACUGAUGCUGAGUAGCCAGAAACACUGGAGCUAUAAUCCUUGCUGACUCUUGAUGAUAACCUUAAAGUCUUACCAGUUAUAUGAUCUUGCCCUCCCCUCUAUCUUAAUAAAAGUAAAUCUAUGGUCACACUUGAAA
Long non-coding RNA from Felis catus (domestic cat), 473 nucleotides. RefSeq lists it as uncharacterized. NCBI's taxonomy places the organism in Eukaryota, Metazoa, Chordata, Mammalia, Carnivora, Felidae. The record is from RefSeq and is a predicted model, not a curated record. The transcript has 3 exons.